GUUACAGCCGCCGCGGUAAUACGUAGGGGGCUAGCGUUGUCCGGAAUCAUUGGGCGUAAAGCGCGCGUAGGCGGUCAGGUAAGUCCGGUGUGAAAGUCAAAGGCUCAACCUUUGAAUGCCGCUGGAAACUGCCUGACUUGAGUCCGGUAGGGGCGAGUGGAAUUCCUGGUGUAGCGGUGAAAUGCGCAGAUAUCAGGAGGAACACCAAUGGCGAAGGCAGCUCGCUGGAACGGUACUGACGCUGAGGCGCGAAAGCGUGGGAAGCAAACAGGAUUAGAAACCCGCGUAGUCC
This 292-nucleotide ribosomal RNA is filed under the name uncultured bacterium. RNAcentral's name for it is "partial 16S ribosomal RNA". It matches the Rfam family "Bacterial small subunit ribosomal RNA", at positions 505 to 796 of the family's 1533-position model. The record is from RNAcentral.